CCUACGGGAGGCAGCAGUGGGGAAUAUUGGGCAAUGGGCGCAAGCCUGACCCAGCAACGCCGCGUGAAGGAAGAAGGCUUUCGGGUUGUAAACUUCUUUUGUCAGGGACGAAGCAAGUGACGGUACCUGACGAAUAAGCCACGGCUAACUACGUGCCAGCAGCCGCGGUAAUACGUAGGUGGCAAGCGUUAUCCGGAUUUACUGGGUGUAAAGGGCGUGUAGGCGGGACUGCAAGUCAGAUGUGAAAACCACGGGCUCAACCUGUGGCCUGCAUUUGAAACUGUAGUUAUUGAGUACUGGAUCGUCAGACGGAAUUCCUAGUGCAGCGGUGAAAUGCGUAGCUAUUAGGAGGAACACCAGUGGCGAAGGCGGUCUGCUGGACAGCAACUGACGCUGAGGCGCGAAAGCGUGGGGAGCAAACAGGAUUAGAUACCCGGGUAGUC
Molecule: ribosomal RNA, 443 nt
Filed under: uncultured bacterium
Lineage: Bacteria
Description: partial 16S ribosomal RNA
Rfam family: Bacterial small subunit ribosomal RNA
Source: RNAcentral